RNAcentral lists this ribosomal RNA (758 nucleotides) under fungal sp. Its description in RNAcentral is "eukaryotic LSU rRNA". The stretch from base 460 to 758 matches the Rfam family "Eukaryotic large subunit ribosomal RNA", at positions 1 to 297 of the family's 3401-position model. The record is from RNAcentral. Lineage: Eukaryota; Fungi.
UUACAUUCAGUAGCCUAGCUACUUGUUUACACCCUUGUUUUUUGCGUACUAAUUGUUUCCUCGGCGGGCUUGCUCGCCGGUUGGACAAAACUAUAACCUUUUUAAAUCUUCAAUCAGCGUCUGAAUUAUUUAUAAUAAUUACAACUUUCAACAACGGAUCUCUUGGUUCUGGCAUCGAUGAAGAACGCAGCGAAAUGCGAUAAGUAGUGUGAAUUGCAGAAUUCAGUGAAUCAUCGAAUCUUUGAACGCACAUUGCGCCCCUUGGUAUUCCAUGGGGCAUGCCUGUUCGAGCGUCAUUUGUACCCUCAAGCUUUGCUUGGUGUUGGGCGUUUUGUCUUUUUCUUUAGUGAUUAGACUCGCCUCAAAGUCAUUGGCAGCCAGUGUUUUUGGUAGUAAGCGCAGCACAUUUUGCGUCUUAGUCCCUAGACAGUGGCACCCACAAAGCCUCUUUCUCACUUUUGACCUCGGAUCAGGUAGGGAUACCCGCUGAACUUAAGCAUAUCAAUAAGCGGAGGAAAAGAAACCAACAGGGAUUGCCCUAGUAACGGCGAGUGAAGCGGCAACAGCUCAAAUUUGAAAUCUGGCUCUUUCAGGGUCCGAGUUGUAAUUUGCAGAGGGCGCUUUGGCGUUGGCAGCGGUCCAAGUUCUUUGGAACAGGACGUCACAGAGGGUGAGAAUCCCGUACGUGGUCGCUAGCCUUCGCCGUGUAAAGCCCCUUCGACGAGUCGAGUUGUUUGGGAAUGCAGCUCUAAAUGGGA